RNAcentral lists this ribosomal RNA (478 nucleotides) under uncultured bacterium. RNAcentral describes it as "partial 16S ribosomal RNA". It matches the Rfam family "Bacterial small subunit ribosomal RNA", at positions 28 to 523 of the family's 1533-position model. The record is from RNAcentral.
GACGAACGCUGGCGGCGUGCUUAACACAUGCAAGUCGAACGGUAAGGCCCUUCGGGGUACACGUGUGGCGAACGGGUGAGUAACACGUGGGUGAUCUGCCCUGCACUUCGGGAUAAGCCUGGGAAACUGGGUCUAAUACCGGAUAGGACCACUGCCUGCAUGGGUGGUGGUGGAAAGCUUUUGCGGUGUGGGAUGGGCCCGCGGCCUAUCAGCUUGUUGGUGGGGUGAUGGCCUACCAAGGCGACGACGGGUAGCCGGCCUGAGAGGGUGACCGGCCAAACUGAGACUGAGAUACGGCCCAGACUCCUACGGGAGGCAGCAGGGGGGAAUAUUGCACAAUGGGCGCAAGCCUGAUGCAGCGACGCCGCGUGAGGGAUGACGGCCUUCGGGUUGUAAACCUCUUUCAGCACCGACGAAGCGCAAGUGACGGUAGGUGCAGAAGAAGGACCGGCCAACUACGUGCCAGCCGCCGCGGUAA